Molecule: unclassified non-coding RNA, 379 nt
Filed under: uncultured Bacteriovoracaceae bacterium
Lineage: Bacteria; Pseudomonadati; Bdellovibrionota; Bacteriovoracia; Bacteriovoracales; Bacteriovoracaceae
Description: contains 16S-23S intergenic spacer region
Source: RNAcentral
UCCUGGUUAACCCAGGCAGUCUGAUUAGAGUGCCCAACUUAAUGCUGGCAACUAAUCAUAGGGGUUGCGCUCGUUGCGAGACUUAACCCAACAUUUCACAACACGAGCUGACGACAGCCAUGCAGCACCUCUCACUACAUUUCCUUGCGGACACCCUGACGUUUCUGCCAAGUUCGUAGGAGUUCAAGCCCAGGUAAGGUUUUUCGCGUUGCUUCGAAUUAAACCACAUAAUCCACCGCUUGUGCGGGCCCCCGUCAAUUCCUUUGAGUUUUAGUCUUGCGACCGUACUCCCCAGGCGGAGAACUUAAUGCGUUAGCUGCGUUACCGAGGGAGUCAAUACCCCCAAUAACUAGUUCUCAUCGUUUACGGCGUGGACUAC